Molecule: transfer RNA, 71 nt
Filed under: Loxodonta africana (African savanna elephant)
Lineage: Eukaryota; Metazoa; Chordata; Mammalia; Proboscidea; Elephantidae
Rfam family: tRNA
About the family: Transfer RNA (tRNA) molecules are approximately 80 nucleotides in length. Their secondary structure includes four short double-helical elements and three loops (D, anti-codon, and T loops).
Source: Rfam by way of RNAcentral
ACAGUGGUGGUUCAGAGGUAGAAUUCUCACCUUCCAAAUGGGAGACCCAGGUUCAAUUACUGGCUAACGUA